Molecule: unclassified non-coding RNA, 149 nt
Organism: Callithrix jacchus (white-tufted-ear marmoset)
Lineage: Eukaryota; Metazoa; Chordata; Mammalia; Primates; Cebidae
Rfam family: Metazoan signal recognition particle RNA
About the family: The signal recognition particle (SRP) is a universally conserved ribonucleoprotein.
Source: Ensembl
GCUGGGCAUGGUGGCGCGUGCCUGUAAUCCCAGCUACUCAGGAGGCUGAGGCAGGAGAAUUGCCCGAACCCAGGAGGCGGAGGUUGCAGUGAGCCGAGAUCACGCCACUGCACUCCAACCUGGGUAACAAGAGCAAAACUCCGUCUCAU